CAGCAGCCGCGGUAAGACAGAGAAUGCAAGCGUUAUCCGGAAUGAUUGGGCGUAAAGCGUCUGUAGGUGGCUUUUCAAGUCCGCCGUCAAAUCCCAGGGCUCAACCCUGGACAGGCGGUGGAAACUACCAAGCUGGGGUACGGUAGGGGCAGAGGGAAUUUCCGGUGGAGCGGUGAAAUGCGUUGAGAUCGGAAAGAACACCAACGGCGAAAGCACCCUGCUGGGCCGACACUGACACUGAGAGACGAAAGCUAGGGGAGCAAAUGGGAUUAGAUACCCGCGUAGUCCCUGUCUCUUAUAC
RNAcentral lists this ribosomal RNA (301 nucleotides) under uncultured bacterium. Its description in RNAcentral is "partial 16S ribosomal RNA". It matches the Rfam family "Bacterial small subunit ribosomal RNA", at positions 509 to 807 of the family's 1533-position model. The record is from RNAcentral.